This is a long non-coding RNA of Capsicum annuum, 226 nucleotides long. RefSeq lists it as uncharacterized. NCBI's taxonomy places the organism in Eukaryota, Viridiplantae, Streptophyta, Magnoliopsida, Solanales, Solanaceae. The transcript is spliced from 3 exons. The record is from RefSeq and is a predicted model, not a curated record.
GUUACAAAGAGAGGAACACGAUAACUCUAGUGGAGGAGUGCCGACUGCGGCUUCAAGUGAAUUUUAAUCAUUUGGAAGCUUUAUGGAAGGGCAAGACCUUGGCAAGUUAGCUUGUGUUUGGAUUCUUCAAUUAUGGUCGAGUGGAAGAAUCGUCCUAUUGAAGAGGCCACUUGGGAGACCGAAGCAGACAUGCGUAGCAAGUAUCCACAUCUUUUUGAUGAUUCAG